AAUUUUUUUUGUGCUCCUUUAACUUACAAAUUUUUUUUAUUUUGCUUCUUAAACUUACAAAAAAACUUUUUUUGUGCCCCUUUACUUAUAAAGUCAAGAAAGUCAGAGACUUUACUCCUUCUUAUGCAUGGGUGAAGUGUGAGAGACCAGAAGACACAAACGGCUAUGAGAUUUUCAGAGCAGCGAAGAUAACAGGACGUAAUGGCAAAGUGUUUGGAUCAGAAGAAAGGUUUGUGCGAUUGAGUCUCAUCAGAUCACAAGAUGACUUUGAUCAGCUUAUUGAUAUGUUGAAAAUAUUAGUCUCCCAGGAAGCUGUUCCAUCUGAAAAUUUUAUGUACAUAUAAAUCUUAGGUUAUAUGCCAUCUUCCUCAACCAAUGUCUGAGCAGUUUAUAGGUCAGAAAGGCAAACAAACCUCCCAGCAUCACGGUAGAGAUAGAAAAGAACGGUUGUGAACAACCAUCUUAUCUCUUCAAUAUGCGGUGUGAUUAUGGAAGCUCCAGAAAGGCAGAAACAUAAGCGAGUGGCGAGUGCCAUGGAUGCCACAACCACCCAAAGCAUCUUAUGCGUAAGAUCGAUCAUGUCAAUCAUUCAUCUUUUGUUCUACUCUUUUCACACCACAUGUUUUGUGUGUUUGGGUCCAUUCUACACUAGUCGCAUCUCUAUUAUUAAUUUGUUUUGUUUGGCACCGCCCUUUUCCUUUCUCAUUA
Molecule: non-coding RNA, 708 nt
Organism: Camelina sativa (false flax)
Lineage: Eukaryota; Viridiplantae; Streptophyta; Magnoliopsida; Brassicales; Brassicaceae
Source: RefSeq, a predicted model, not a curated record